RNAcentral lists this ribosomal RNA (474 nucleotides) under uncultured bacterium. RNAcentral describes it as "bacterial SSU rRNA". It matches the Rfam family "Bacterial small subunit ribosomal RNA", at positions 27 to 518 of the family's 1533-position model. The record is from RNAcentral.
GGACGAACGCUGGCGGCGCGCCUAACACAUGCAAGUCGAACGGACAUUGAGAGCUUGCUCUCAAAGUUAGUGGCGGACGGGUGAGUAACACGUGAGCAACCUGCCUUUCAGAGGGGGACAACAGUUGGAAACGACUGCUAAUACCGCAUAACGUUGUGAGGGGGCAUCCCCAUACAACCAAAGAUUUAUCGCUGAAAGAUGGGCUCGCGUCUGAUUAGAUAGUUGGUGAGGUAACGGCCCACCAAGUCGACGAUCAGUAGCCGGACUGAGAGGUUGAACGGCCACAUUGGGACUGAGACACGGCCCAGACUCCUACGGGAGGCAGCAGUGGGGGAUAUUGGACAAUGGGGGAAACCCUGAUCCAGCGACGCCGCGUGAGGGAAGAAGGUUUUCGGAUUGUAAACCUCUGUUGACAGGGAAGAAAAUGACAGUACCUGUUCAGAAAGCCACGGCUAACUACGUGCCAGCCGCCGC